Molecule: transfer-messenger RNA, 386 nt
Filed under: Helicobacter pylori
Lineage: Bacteria; Pseudomonadati; Campylobacterota; Epsilonproteobacteria; Campylobacterales; Helicobacteraceae
Also listed under: 1 other name
Description: Standard tmRNA
Rfam family: transfer-messenger RNA
About the family: Bacterial tmRNA, also known as 10Sa RNA or SsrA, is named for its dual tRNA and mRNA-like properties. Its role is to liberate the mRNA from a stalled ribosome.
Source: RNAcentral
GGGGCUGACUUGGAUUUCGACAGAUUUCUUGUCGCACAGAUAGCAUGCCAAGUGCUGCUUGUAAAACAGCAACAAAAAUAACCGUAAACAACGCAGAUUACGCUCCAGCUUACGCUAAAGCUGCGUGAGUUAAUCUCCUUUUGGAGCUGGACUGAUUAGAAUUUCUAGCGUUUUAAUCACUCCAUAACCUUAAGCUAGACGCUUUUAAAAGGUGGUUCGCCUUUUAAACUAAGAAACAAGAACUCUUGAAACUACCUCAAGGUUUUAGAAAGUUGGACCAGAGCUAGUUUUAAGGCUAAAAAGCUAACCAAUUUUCUAAGCAUUGUAGAAGUUUGUGUUUAGGACAAGAUUUUUGGACUGGGGUUCGAUUCCCCACAGCUCCACCA